CCUACGGGUGGCAGCAGUGGGGAAUAUUGGACAAUGGGCGAAAGCCUGAUCCAGCCAUGCCGCGUGUGUGAAGAAGGCCUUCGGGUUGUAAAGCACUUUCAGUGGGGAAGAAAGCCUUGGGGCUAAUACCCUCGAGGAAGGACAUCACCCACAGAAGAAGCACCGGCUAACUCCGUGCCAGCAGCCGCGGUAAUACGGAGGGUGCGAGCGUUAAUCGGAAUUACUGGGCGUAAAGCGCGCGUAGGCGGUCUGAUAAGCCGGUUGUGAAAGCCCCGGGCUCAACCUGGGAACGGCAUCCGGAACUGUCAGGCUAGAGUGCAGGAGAGGUAGGCAGAAUUCCCGGUGUAGCGGUGAAAUGCGUAGAGAUCGGGAAGAAUACCAGUGGCGAAGGCGGCCUUCUGGACUGACACUGACGCUGAGGUGCGAAAGCGUGGGUAGCAAACAGGAUUAGAUACCCCAGUAGUC
RNAcentral lists this ribosomal RNA (465 nucleotides) under Vreelandella stevensii. RNAcentral describes it as "partial 16S ribosomal RNA". It matches the Rfam family "Bacterial small subunit ribosomal RNA", at positions 338 to 795 of the family's 1533-position model. Lineage: Bacteria; Pseudomonadati; Pseudomonadota; Gammaproteobacteria; Oceanospirillales; Halomonadaceae. The record is from RNAcentral.